UAAUGAUAUAUUUCAAUACAAUAAAAAAAAUCGUGUGUGUAAUAAAAACAUAGACUUUGCAAUAAAGUCUACACAAAGUGCACAAAAAAUCCAAUAAUGAUCCUUCCGCAGGUUCACCUACGGAAA
This 126-nucleotide unclassified non-coding RNA is filed under the name uncultured fungus. RNAcentral's name for it is "sequence contains ITS1". Lineage: Eukaryota; Fungi. The record is from RNAcentral.